RNAcentral lists this ribosomal RNA (321 nucleotides) under Hornectes quadrimaculatus. Its description in RNAcentral is "partial 12S ribosomal RNA". Lineage: Eukaryota; Metazoa; Arthropoda; Insecta; Coleoptera; Dytiscidae. The record is from RNAcentral.
UAGUUAUGAUCUUGAAAUUUAAAAAUUUUGGCGGUAUUUUAGUCUAUUCAGAGGAACCUGUCCCAUAAUUGAUAGUCCACGGUAAGUUGUAUUUAAUUUAAAUUAAUUUGUAUAUCGUCGUUAUUAAGUAUUUUAUAAGAAUUAAAAUGUUUAAGAUUUAGAAUAAUAUAAAAUAUCAGAUCAAGGUGCAGUUUAUAAUUAAGAGGAGAUGGGUUACAAUAAGUUUAUUUAUACAGAUCUAUAUAUUAAAAUUUAUAGUGAAGGUGGAUUUGAUAGUAAUAUAAUUAGAAUUAAUUUUAUGAUUUUAGCUCUAAAAUGUGU